AUGAAGCUAAACGUGGAAGGGGCUUGGUGGGUGGUAACAAAAUAUGUUGGACACCACAACCAUGACAUGAUAAAGACAUUUGACCUUGUGAAGUUUCUGAGCGCUCACUGUGGGUUCACCCGGCAAGAGGAACAGUUCGUGAACUUGCUGCAUGACUGCAACCUCCAGCCUGGGAGAAUGGUGCACAUCCUCUCAAUGAUUCAUAGCAAAAGCGGCAAGCUAAGAAGCCUGCCAUACAUGCCUUCACAUGUGGUAAACCUGGUAGCAAAGUAUCGCAGGGAAAGUCAACUAUCAGACAUGGACAACAAAAUUGCAUACUUCAUGCAGAGGGAGAAAGACGAUCCCGACUUCUUCUACAUAAUAAAACUGGAUGAUGAAGACCACGUUGUGAACAUGUACUUGAUAGAUGGUGCAGCACGCAGGCCUUACAAGCACUUUCGUGACUGUGUGUCGUUCGAUGCAACGUAUCUAACAAACAUGUACAAGAUGCCGUGUUGUCCGUUCAUUGGCAUAAACAACCACAACCAGUCACGCUAUGCUUGGCUGUUCAAAACAUUUCUGAAAUGCAUGGGCGGCCUUGCGCCAAUGAACAUGACAACGGACCAGGAUUUCGGGAUGCGUGGAGACAUUGAGGAAGUGUUCUCAACAACCAUACACAGACACUACAGGUGGCAUGUCAUAAAAAAGGCAGAAGAGACAUUAGGCCCUUCUUUGCUGACUACACAACGCAGUGAGGGGUUUAACGCUGUUAUAAGAAGAAGAGACGAGAUGCUCUGCUGCCACAUACUAAGGGUCAUGGACUUCAGUGCUGUGAAGAAGGUGCCAGCUAGUUACAUACUAGAGCGCUGGACUUGGAAUGCUGAUGAAGCACUUUGCCCCCAUGGCGCCCAGGAAGUGAUCGCGGUGCAUGAAGAUGGUCCCAACACAAGUAUGGACACAGUGAGGCAUAUGGUAAUGACAAGAAGAUUUGCCCACAUAGCAGACGAUGCAUGCAAGCAUGAAGAAAUGUGCAGGGCCGUAGAAAGGCACACAAAAGCAUUAGAGAGGGAACUAGAGUCAAUCAAGAAGAGGAUGGCCGAGGAAGCUCUACAUCGAUUCCCAAAAAAGACCAAAACUGCUACAACUACAUCAACAGGGCCGUCAACUGAUAACUUUGAGGUGGGCUCUGGCGCAUCAAACAUGUACACACACAUCCAGAACCCUGCCAAGACACUCACAAAAGGCGACCGAAGCAGAUUAGGUUCAAGGCAGCGCUUGAGAUCCAAGGCAAGCACAAGAAGGGUACGAAGUAAUCAUUUUCGGAAAGAUUAG
RNAcentral lists this ribosomal RNA (1311 nucleotides) under Triticum aestivum (bread wheat). RNAcentral's name for it is "partial small subunit ribosomal RNA". Lineage: Eukaryota; Viridiplantae; Streptophyta; Magnoliopsida; Poales; Poaceae. The record is from RNAcentral.